Molecule: long non-coding RNA, 369 nt
Organism: Aquila chrysaetos chrysaetos
Lineage: Eukaryota; Metazoa; Chordata; Aves; Accipitriformes; Accipitridae
Exons: 3
Source: RefSeq, a predicted model, not a curated record
GGCGGGCGCCCUCCGGCCUCCGAGCAGCAGCAGCGGCGGCGGCGGCGGCAGCAGUAGCCGGCGCGGCCCGGAGGCGGAAGCGACGGCAGGAAGUGAGCUCUGCUCUGGACAACCUGGGAAGGGGCUGGAAUGCCUCAGUACUCUGCACCCAGCUUCCCAUCCAGAGGAAACCAAGGCCCGCAUCCACAAAGCAUGACUUCAGGUCUCAGGGUUUUCUCUGCAGCCUCCAGCAUGCAGUAACAGACUCUGCCUCACUCAGCAGCGUUUAUCCAGACCUACAUAGCAGCUGGUGUGGAUAUGCAUGCAACACUUUACAUCUGAUGGUGUUGAACAUACAGGUGAGUUGCUGUAUAGACUGCUCACCUGUAC